UACGUAGGGUGCGAGCGUUAAUCGGAAUUACUGGGCGUAAAGCGUGCGCAGGCGGUUAUGCAAGACAGAUGUGAAAUCCCCGGGCUCAACCUGGGAACUGCAUUUGUGACUGCAUGGCUGGAGUGCGGCAGAGGGGGAUGGAAUUCCGCGUGUAGCAGUGAAAUGCGUGGAUAUGCGGAGGAACACCGAUGGCGAAGGCAAUCCCCUGGGCCUGCACUGACGCUCAUGCACGAAAGCGUGGGGAGCAAACAGG
This 253-nucleotide ribosomal RNA is filed under the name uncultured bacterium. RNAcentral's name for it is "partial 16S ribosomal RNA". It matches the Rfam family "Bacterial small subunit ribosomal RNA", at positions 524 to 776 of the family's 1533-position model. The record is from RNAcentral.